RNAcentral lists this long non-coding RNA (440 nucleotides) under Citrus maxima (pomelo). RNAcentral describes it as "long non-coding RNA (CMAX_LNC002128)". The record is from RNAcentral. Lineage: Eukaryota; Viridiplantae; Streptophyta; Magnoliopsida; Sapindales; Rutaceae.
GGCAUCCAGGUUGACUUUGACAGCUGAUUCUGCUUCGGUUGGAAAUCUUCUGCUUUCAGAUUCGCAUAUCACUAUAAUGGAUGUAUGUUAUCUGAGACUUGUUUGUAUUUGUGUGCAUGAGACUUUUCAAUAAUUUCCUUAAUUAACUUGCAGCAGGCAUACCUUGAAAUGAAGAUUGCGUAGUUUAGUUAAGUGGGUGAAACUUGAAUUCUAUUUUGAAGAAUUCUUAUAUCCAUGAAACAAUCUUGCUGAAAGUUUUGAGUUUUGCAUGUGAAAGUUCAUGCUUAUAUUUUAAGAGGAAGGAGUCUAGUGCAUAUGAUGUGGGAUUGUUUGGACAUGACUACAUGAACUAAUAGUAAAGUUUUCUGUGGUUUAAGUUUUUGGAGUUUUUAACGAUCUGUUAUUGCAACAUUGGUACUGCUUAACUGGAACCAUCUUCU